Molecule: unclassified non-coding RNA, 207 nt
Filed under: soil metagenome
Description: partial contains 5.8S ribosomal RNA, internal transcribed spacer 2, and large subunit ribosomal RNA
Source: RNAcentral
AACCAUAGAAACCUGCGGAGUACCUGCGGAGGGAUCAUUACCGGGUUUACAACUCCCAAACCCCUGUGAACAUACCACUUGUUGCCUCGGCGGAUCAGCCCGCUCCCGGUAAAACGGGACGGCCCGCCAGAGGACCCCUAAACUCUGUUUCUAUAUGUAACUUCUGAGUAAAACCAUAAAUAAAUCAAAACUUUCAACAACGGAUCU